RNAcentral lists this ribosomal RNA (441 nucleotides) under uncultured bacterium. RNAcentral's name for it is "partial 16S ribosomal RNA". It matches the Rfam family "Bacterial small subunit ribosomal RNA", at positions 338 to 795 of the family's 1533-position model. The record is from RNAcentral.
CCUACGGGUGGCAGCAGUGGGGGAUAUUGCACAAUGGGGGGAACCCUGAUGUAGCGACGCCGCGUGGGUGAAGGAGUGCUUCGGCAUGUAAAGCCCUAUCGGCAGGGAAGAAGCAAGACGGUACCUGACUAAGAAGCCCCGGCUAACUACGUGCCAGCAGCCGCGGUUAUACGUAGGGGGCGAGCGUUAUCCGGAUUCACUGGGUGGAAAGGGAGCGUAGACGGCCAAGCAAGCCAGGGGUGAAAGCCCGGGGCCCAACCCCGGGACUGCCCUUGGAACUGCAUGGCUGGAGGGCGGGAGGGGCAGGCGGAAUUCCUAGUGUAGCGGUGAAAUGCGUAGAUAUUAGGAGGAACACCGGUGGCGAAGGCGGCCUGCUGGACUGUGACUGACGUUGAGGCCCGAAGGCGUGGGGAGCAAACAGGAUUAGAUACCCGUGUAGUC